Molecule: ribosomal RNA, 496 nt
Filed under: uncultured bacterium
Lineage: Bacteria
Description: partial 16S ribosomal RNA
Rfam family: Bacterial small subunit ribosomal RNA
Source: RNAcentral
GAUGAACGCUGGCGGCGUGCCUAAUACAUGCAAGUCGAGCGAACAGAUAAGGAGCUUGCUCCUUUGACGUUAGCGGCGGACGGGUGAGUAACACGUGGGUAACCUACCUAUAAGACUGGGAUAACUUCGGGAAACCGGAGCUAAUACCGGAUAAUAUUUCGAACCGCAUGGUUCGAUAGUGAAAGAUGGUUUUGCUAUCACUUAUAGAUGGACCCGCGCCGUAUUAGCUAGUUGGUAAGGUAACGGCUUACCAAGGCGACGAUACGUAGCCGACCUGAGAGGGUGAUCGGCCACACUGGAACUGAGACACGGUCCAGACUCCUACGGGAGGCAGCAGUAGGGAAUCUUCCGCAAUGGGCGAAAGCCUGACGGAGCAACGCCGCGUGAGUGAUGAAGGUCUUCGGAUCGUAAAACUCUGUUAUUAGGGAAGAACAUACGUGUAAGUAACUGUGCACGUCUGGACGGUACCUAAUCAGAAAGCCACGGCGAACUACGU